RNAcentral lists this ribosomal RNA (506 nucleotides) under uncultured bacterium. RNAcentral's name for it is "partial 16S ribosomal RNA". It matches the Rfam family "Bacterial small subunit ribosomal RNA", at positions 29 to 523 of the family's 1533-position model. The record is from RNAcentral.
AGUGAACGCUGGCGGUAGGCCUAACACAUGCAAGUCGAACGGCAGCACAGGAGAGCUUGCUCUCUGGGUGGCGAGUGGCGGACGGGUGAGGAAUACAUCGGAAUCUACUUUUUCGUGGGGGAUAACGUAGGGAAACUUACGCUAAUACCGCAUACGACCUACGGGUGAAAGCAGGGGAUCUUCGGACCUUGCGCGAUUGAAUGAGCCGAUGUCGGAUUAGCUAGUUGGCGGGGGAAAGGCCCACCAAGGCGACGAUCCGUAGCUGGUCUGAGAGGAGAAUCAGCCACGCUGGAACUGAGACACGGUCCAGACUCCUACGGGAGGCAGCAGUGGGGAAUAUUGGACAAUGGGCGCAAGCCUGAUCCAGCCAUACCGCGUGGGUGAAGAAGGCCUUCGGGUUGUAAAGCCCUUUUGUUGGGAAAGAAAUCCAGCUGGCUAAUACCCGGUUGGGAUGACGGUACCCAAAGAAUAAGCACCGGCUAACUUCGUGCCAGCAGCCGCCGUAA